GGUCUGAUUGCGGCUCCGGGAUUGAACGCUGGCGGGAUGCUUUUACACAUGCAAGUCGAACGGCAGCACGGACUUCGGUCUGGUGGCGAGUGGCGAACGGGUGAGUAAUGUAUCGUGAACGUGCCUAGUAGCGGGGAUAACUUACGCGAAAGCGUAGCUACUUACCGCAUACACCUCUUCUGGGAAAGCGGGGACCUUUCGGGCCCUCGCACUAUUAGAGCGGCCGAUAUCGGAUUAGCUAGUUGGUGGGGUAACGGCUCACCAAGGCGACGAUCCGUAGCUGGUUUGAGAGGACGACCAGCCACACUGGGACUGAGACACGGCCCAGACUCCCAUGGAGGCAGCAGUGGGGAAUUUUGGACAAUGGGGGAAACCCUGAUCCAGCCAUCCUGCGUGUGCGAUGAAGGCCUUCGGGUUGUAAAGCACUUUUUGGCAGGGAGUAAGAAAUGGCACGGAUAAUACUCCCGUGCAACUGACGGUACCUGCAGAAUAAGCACCGGCUAACUACGUGCCAGCAGCCGCGGUAAUACGUAGGGUGCAAGCGUUACCCGGAAUUACUACAAAGCGUGCGCAGGCGGUUCGAAAGAAAGAUGAAAUCCCAGAGCUUAACUUUGGAACUGCAUUUUUAACUACCGAGCUAGAGGCCGAGGGAGGUGGACUCCGCGUGUAGCAGUGAAAUGCGUAGAUAUGCGGAGGAACACCGAUGGCGAAGGCAGCCUCCUGGGAUAAUACCGACGCUCAUGCACGAAAGCGUGGGGCGAAACAGGGAUUAGAUACCCUGGUAGUCCACGCCCUAAACGAUGUCAACUAGCCGUUGGGGCCUCUCGCCUUGGUAGCGCAGCUAACGGGUGGUAGUUGACCGUCAGAGGGCGGUCGCAAGAUUAAAACUCAAAGGAAUUGACGGGGACGUGCACGCGGUGGAUGAUGUGGAUUAAUUCGAUGCAACGCGAAAACCUUACCUACCCUUGACAUGUCUGGAAUCCCGAAGAGAUUUGGGAGUGCUCGCAAGAGAACCGGAACACAGGUGCUGCAUGGCUGUCGUCAGCUCGUGUCGUGAGAUGUUGGGUUAAGUCCUGGCAACGGAGCGUAACCCUUGUCAUUAGUUGCUACGAAAGGGCACUCCACGAGACUGCCGGUGACAAACUGGAGGAAGGUGGGGAUGACGUCAAGUCCUCAUGGCCCUUACAAGAAAAAAGGCGCAGGGCUUCACACGUCAUACAAUGGUCGGGACAGAGGGUCGCCAACCCGCGAGGGGGAGCCAAUCCCAGAAACCCGGACGUAGUCCGGAUCGCAGUCUGCAACUCGACUGCGUGAAGUCGGAAUCGCUAGUAAUCGCGGAUCAGCAUGUCGCGGUGAAUACGUUCCCGGGUCCUGUACACGCCGCCCGUCACACCAUGGGAGUGGGUUUUACCAGAAGUAGUUAGCCUAACCGUAAGGAGGGCGAUUACCACGGUAGGAUUCGUCGACUGGGGGUGAAGUCGUAACAAGGUAAC
This 1493-nucleotide ribosomal RNA is filed under the name uncultured Bordetella sp. RNAcentral describes it as "partial 16S-23S ribosomal RNA intergenic spacer". It matches the Rfam family "Bacterial small subunit ribosomal RNA". Lineage: Bacteria; Pseudomonadati; Pseudomonadota; Betaproteobacteria; Burkholderiales; Alcaligenaceae. The record is from RNAcentral.